UAUUUGCACAAUGAUGAAGUCACCUAACAAUGCAUUUCUCAGAACGUAUCCCCAUGGCUGCCUGACUGUAUGUGAAAAAAAAAUGAUUCAGUGAAAUUUUUUAGAAUAUACUGUUCUCUUUUGUCCCCACCUAUGAUAUUUUACUAUGAAGUUUUCAUCUUCUAAUGCAGUAUAUCAGUAACAGUCUCUCAACCCAUUUUCCCUCUUUCUUACUUUUUUGGGAGUCACAGACUUCGGCUGGAUGGAGUUCAGGGAGACAGAGCUCUGGCCAACCCCCAAAGCAGAACCUAUGCAGGAGGGCAUGGCGUCCACAUUGCCUCAUCCGAGGCAAAACUACAGCUAUGUCAGGAGGGCAUGGUAACACCUGAGUAAUACUUUAUAUCUUCCUCACCACCUUGCUAAAGAGAAGCCAGUUUUACACACAGUGAUAUGCUGGAGUACAGUGGCGCCAUCUCAGCUCACUGCAACCUCCACCUCCCGGGUUCAAGCGAUUUUCCUGCCUCAGCCUCCUGAGUAGGCAUGUGAUUGGCUUUGGCCAAUGGGAUAUCAGAAAAUGUGAUGCAGCAGAGACUUGAAGAUGCACUGCAGAGACUAGAUUUAUUCUUUUCUGCUGCGGCAAUUGCCAUGAAGUUGCAGUCCCAGCCUAGCCUGCUGGCCCCAGGAUGAGGGUGAGAGUCACAUGAAGUAGACCUACAAUUACCCAGUCAAGACCAGCUCAGAUUAUUUUGCCCACAGAUAACAUUCAAACAGAUGAAUGAACCCAGUGUAGAUAAGCUGAACCUUACAAACACAUGAAAGAUAAUUGUAUAUCACUGAGGUGUGAGGGUUAUUGUUGCACAAUCACCAACCAAAUUAAAAACUUUUUGGGAACAAGGCUUUUGCUUCACUCAUUUAUUAAAUCCCUGGUGUCUAGCACUCAAUAGAGGCUUAUUUAAUCUUUACUGGAUAGUUUCAUGAAUAAAGAAGUAAUUGAAAAUAUUUUCUCUCUUUUUUUGUCAUACUUAGAUACCAUGCUAAUAGCCUUAACUGAGAGCUUCUAUGUGUAAUAAAAAGGGCCAUUCCAUGAACUAAUCUGUAAUUAAUCAUCCUAGAGAUGGUGGCCUAUCUUUUUGUCCCAAGCUCUCCUGAAAUAAUUUCCACUGCCUCUCCUGAUCCCCUGACUUGGUUAGUGUUUAACCAUUCUUAAUAGUAAGAACUUCUUCUGAUAAAGAUAAGUAGCCAUCAAAGAAUGACCUGCCAAUCACAAAUGAGCACUGAAUAAAAAAACUUUUUACACCCUAGCUAAAUACAGGUAGUAGUGUUUUGCCUCAAGUCAAGCUCUAGAGUAAAUGGAAGAGUGAGCCAUUUGUGUUUCCUUUUGAGCUCACCCCCUCCUGUCCUUCUCCCAAAGUAAAUACAUUACCCUUAUCUUCUUCCCUAUCAAAUCCUAUUCUUAUAAAAUAGAUCUGAAAGACAGCUAAAUAAGUAAUUAUCAGUAGUAUUGCCUCUCAUUGGAAACUUGCAUGCUAAGAUUCCUUCAUUUAUUCAUUCAUUCCAUAACGCUGAGUGGCCACUCUGCCCAGCACCAUGGGGAGUAAUGGGGAUGCAGUGGUGACAGAUACAAACAUAGUAUGUUCUUUCAUAGAGCUCAUGAUUUGGAGAUCAGGGAAGGUUGGAAAACAGACACUGAAUAAGAGUACUACCUGUGGGAAAGGAGAGCUAAAGAGAGUGGUGGAGUGUAUGGCAAGAGUUUCUAAUCUAGUCUGCAUGGCAGGGAAUUCCCCUGGGGAAAUGCUAUUUACACUUGAAGAAGGAGUUAACUUUAGUCAAAAAAAACUCAUGGGAAAAUCAUUCCUGAAAGAUGAACUGUGUAUAGAAAGGUCCUGAGGAGGGGCAGAUCAUAGUUUGUUCCAGGAACCAAAGGAAUCCAGCCUGGCUGAAAGGAAGAAAAUAAGCCUUGAUGAUGAUA
Long non-coding RNA from Symphalangus syndactylus (siamang), 1948 nucleotides. RefSeq lists it as uncharacterized. The record is from RefSeq and is a predicted model, not a curated record. Lineage: Eukaryota; Metazoa; Chordata; Mammalia; Primates; Hylobatidae.